AGGUACUCCGACCACGCAUACGCAGCAGGCGGGACCCUCUCAGGGUCAAGCAGCGUGGGACUACUUGUGAGUGGAUUUUGUUUUCAAAUCUUAUGCAUGGUUUUAUUAAUGAAAGAUUUAUGCAUAAUGUUUUAACGAUUUAUUGAAUAUAUUAUAUUCAUGGGUUGAAUUUGAUGUCUAUAUAGCGCUUUGGCAUAGUUGGGUAUUGAAAGUAUAUUUUAUAUGGAUUUUGGGAAAUUUAUGCAUGACGUUUUAAAUGGUAUUUUUGGAUAUAUUAUUUAUUCAAUUGUUGAAAGGGAUAUUUUUAUGAAGCAUUGAAAAUAUAUUUUUGGGUUUUAACAUAUUGGAGUAUCUUGAGUAUGAAUAUAUGGAUUUGAGGAUUUCUAUAUAUAUUUGGUUAUGUGCGAGGUACUUGGGUUGUUGAGAUGAGAUUGUGGAAAGUGGUGAGUGUAGAAUGUCAGUGUGGUGUGCUAUAAGCACUACCCUAUGUACCUCCCUGGUUUGGAACUUGGAUACGGAUACUUGAGAUACUUGGAAGAAUCGGAACCCGGGGCAUCCUUGACGGGAUGUUGCUGUAGACCCUUGAUUGGGUAGUCUGCGCGCGUAGGACUGAUCACAGACGUACGGGUUUUGAGGUUAUCGACGGUCCGUGCUGGCUGAGAGUUGGUCCCCCAGUUGGACGGCUCGUUCCCUAGUCACAUGGUGGAUUGAGGACUCAUCAUGAGGACUCUGCCAGGGUGACUAGUCAAACAAUCCCCCGGUUGGAUUGUUUCCCCGGUACAACUAGGUGAUGGUCAUAUUUAUAUUAUAUAUAUCUCUUAUAUUAUAUAUAUAUAUAUAUAUAAUCCAUUCAUUUAUGUUUUUCGGUGAGGAUACUUCUUUGCCGGUCGUGCCAAUGGGUACGCUUUCGAGAGUUUGGUUGUGGGACUUAUAAGUUUUGGAUGGUGGGUUUUAUAAAGUGUUCUUUUUGGAUUUUGGACUUGGCAUCCGGUAUUGAUUUGUUUUUAUAUAUUAUAUAUAUAUAUAUAUAUACUGGAGUAUGAAGGUUUUAAGAUGCAUGGAAUUUCUUGCAUGGUUUUCUAAACGGUGGGGUUAUAUUACGUUGGUUUACACUGAACUGAAUUGAUUUUUGUCCACUCACAAUUUUCUGUUUUGCGCCCCCAGCCAGUAGUUGACUGAGCUCCGCAGCAGAGCCGGAUCGUGCGCUUCCGAGCCUUGAGCCUUCGUAGGACUCUUUCUUCAUGUUAUUUCCUUUGAACUCUGUUUUGUUGAAAUUGAAGUUCUUAGACAUGCUCUGUUAUCGCCCUGUUAGGGUUUGAUUUGUGAGGCCUGAGGCCAUUUCAUUGUAAAUUGUUUGUUCGUUUUAAAGCAUGCUGCUGGUUGGGUUUGUUUUGUAUUUUGUUGCAGGUUGAAAUCUGUUGGGUUUCUUAAAUUUAUAGGGGGGACUCUGCCAAAAUUUUGGUAAAGAGUCUCGGUUUCUAGUAAGUGGGCCCGGCAUCGGGUGAUGUCGGAACAAAGACGGGGUCCGCUCCGGUCUACGGGGAAAUUCCGGGGCGGGUCCUGUCA
This 1566-nucleotide long non-coding RNA is filed under the name Prunus dulcis (almond). RNAcentral describes it as "sRNA ncRNA". Lineage: Eukaryota; Viridiplantae; Streptophyta; Magnoliopsida; Rosales; Rosaceae. The record is from RNAcentral.